UCUGGUCUCUAGAGCGAGGUGGAACCAACUCUCCCCAUCCCGAACAGAGUCUUGAAACGCCUUAGCGCUGACAAUAAUGCACGGGAAACUGUGUGUGAAGAUAAGUCGAGGCCAGAA
RNAcentral lists this ribosomal RNA (117 nucleotides) under Minisyncoccota bacterium. Lineage: Bacteria; Bacillati; Minisyncoccota. The record is from RNAcentral.